GUGACUGCGUACCUUUUGUAUAAUGGGUCAGCGACUUAUAUUCUGUAGCAAGGUUAACCGAAUAGGGGAGCCGAAGGGAAACCGAGUCUUAACUGGGCGUUAAGUUGCAGGGUAUAGACCCGAAACCCGGUGAUCUAGCCAUGGGCAGGUUGAAGGUUGGGUAACACUAACUGGAGGACCGAACCGACUAAUGUUGAAAAAUUAGCGGAUGACUUGUGGCUGGGGGUGAAAGGCCAAUCAAACCGGGAGAUAGCUGGUUCUCCCCGAAAGCUAUUUAGGUAGCGCCUCGUGAAUUCAUCUCCGGGGGUAGAGCACUGUUUCGGCAAGGGGGUCAUCCCGACUUACCAACCCGAUGCAAACUGCGAAUACCGGAGAAUGUUAUCACGGGAGACACACGGCGGGUGCUAACGUCCGUCGUGAAGAGGGAAACAACCCAGACCGCCAGCUAAGGUCCCAAAGUCAUGGUUAAGUGGGAAACGAUGUGGGAAGGCCCAGACAGCCAGGAUGUUGGCUUAGAAGCAGCCAUCAUUUAAAGAAAGCGUAAUAGCUCACUGGUCGAGUCGGCCUGCGCGGAAGAUGUAACGGGGCUAAACCAUGCACCGAAGCUGCGGCAGCGACACUGUGUGUUGUUGGGUAGGGGAGCGUUCUGUAAGCCUGUGAAGGUGUACUGUGAGGUAUGCUGGAGGUAUCAGAAGUGCGAAUGCUGACAUAAGUAACGAUAAAGCGGGUGAAAAGCCCGCUCGCCGGAAGACCAAGGGUUCCUGUCCAACGUUAAUCGGGGCAGGGUGAGUCGACCCCUAAGGCGAGGCCGAAAGGCGUAGUCGAUGGGAAACAGGUUAAUAUUCCUGUACUUGGUGUUACUGCGAAGGGGGGACGGAGAAGGCUAUGUUGGCCGGGCGACGGUUGUCCCGGUUUAAGCGUGUAGGCUGGUUUUCCAGGCAAAUCCGGAAAAUCAAGGCUGAGGCGUGAUGACGAGGCACUACGGUGCUGAAGCAACAAAUGCCCUGCUUCCAGGAAAAGCCUCUAAGCAUCAGGUAACAUCAAAUCGUACCCCAAACCGACACAGGUGGUCAGGUAGAGAAUACCAAGGCGCUUGAGAGAACUCGGGUGAAGGAACUAGGCAAAAUGGUGCCGUAACUUCGGGAGAAGGCACGCUGAUAUGUAGGUGAAGUCCCUCGCGGAUGGAGCUGAAAUCAGUCGAAGAUACCAGCUGGCUGCAACUGUUUAUUAAAAACACAGCACUGUGCAAACACGAAAGUGGACGUAUACGGUGUGACGCCUGCCCGGUGCCGGAAGGUUAAUUGAUGGGGUCAGCGCAAGCGAAGCUCUUGAUCGAAGCCCCGGUAAACGGCGGCCGUAACUAUAACGGUCCUAAGGUAGCGAAAUUCCUUGUCGGGUAAGUUCCGACCUGCACGAAUGGCGUAAUGAUGGCCAGGCUGUCUCCACCCGAGACUCAGUGAAAUUGAACUCGCUGUGAAGAUGCAGUGUACCCGCGGCAAGACGGAAAGACCCCGUGAACCUUUACUAUAGCUUGACACUGAACAUUGAGCCUUGAUGUGUAGGAUAGGUGGGAGGCUUUGAAGUGUGGACGCCAGUCUGCAUGGAGCCGACCUUGAAAUACCACCCUUUAAUGUUUGAUGUUCUAACGUGGACCCGUGAUCCGGGUUGCGGACAGUGUCUGGUGGGUAGUUUGACUGGGGCGGUCUCCUCCUAAAGAGUAACGGAGGAGCACGAAGGUUGGCUAAUCCUGGUCGGACAUCAGGAGGUUAGUGCAAUGGCAUAAGCCAGCUUGACUGCGAGCGUGACGGCGCGAGCAGGUGCGAAAGCAGGUCAUAGUGAUCCGGUGGUUCUGAAUGGAAGGGCCAUCGCUCAACGGAUAAAAGGUACUCCGGGGAUAACAGGCUGAUACCGCCCAAGAGUUCAUAUCGACGGCGGUGUUUGGCACCUCGAUGUCGGCUCAUCACAUCCUGGGGCUGAAGUAGGUCCCAAGGGUAUGGCUGUUCGCCAUUUAAAGUGGUACGCGAGCUGGGUUUAGAACGUCGUGAGACAGUUCGGUCCCUAUCUGCCGUGGGCGCUGGAGAACUGAGGGGGGCUGCUCCUAGUACGAGAGGACCGGAGUGGACGCAUCACUGGUGUUCGGGUUGUCAUGCCAAUGGCACUGCCCGGUAGCUAAAUGCGGAAGAGAUAAGUGCUGAAAGCAUCUAAGCACGAAACUUGCCCCGAGAUGAGUUCUCCCUGACCCUUUAAGGGUCCUGAAGGAACGUUGAAGACGACGACGUUGAUAGGCCGGGUGUGUAAGCGCAGCGAUGCGUUGAGCUAACCGGUACUAAUGAACCGUGAGGCUUAACCUU
This 2351-nucleotide ribosomal RNA is filed under the name Escherichia coli. RNAcentral describes it as "23S ribosomal RNA". It matches the Rfam family "Bacterial large subunit ribosomal RNA", at positions 593 to 2925 of the family's 2925-position model. Lineage: Bacteria; Pseudomonadati; Pseudomonadota; Gammaproteobacteria; Enterobacterales; Enterobacteriaceae. The record is from RNAcentral. RNAcentral also lists the same sequence under 1 other name.